UGAAGUUUAUACCCUCUUUUUUCAUUACUGUUAAUUGACUUCUGCUUAAUAUCUGUCCAUGUUUAGUGUGUUGACUUUAAUACCAGCAUUUGCAGUGCCAGUAACACUAUAUAAAGGUGUACUUAAUGCAUCAUCACUGCUAAGUCAGAAGGACCCAUUUUAACAACAUUUUGGCCUCAUAAAAGAAGUUGCAUUACAAAGCAACUUUUUUUAACUUUUCCACACAAGUUUUCUCAUGAUUUCCUUCUAAGUAAAAGGUCUUUCACUCCCACCUUAUUAAAUACAGUGGCUCAGUUUAUGGCCCACAGUAAGGUGGGCUGUUAUAUCUUUGCAGUAGUAAUGAACAUGCAGCAUUUUAAAUUAAUUAAUAAAAAAAAAAAUGUGCAAACAAACAUUCAGUGAUUUGGUAAUUUUUGGUGUGCUUUCAUUUUCCAAAUGGUUGCAGGUUUUUUAAGGUUUCCUCCAAAAUUGAAUUGCGGUUUGUGGUCUGGGUUUUAAAUGGUGUGCACAAUGGUGAUUUUAUCAGCACAAUGUGAAAAAUAGAACUUAUGUAUGUUUAGUUACAGAUCUUUAAAAAGGAACCUACUUAUUAAUAGGAAAUAUCAAUUGGCCUUGACCUCCACUCCAGUCAGACAUUUGCACUGUGUCCUUUGUCACCUGACUUCAGUAUGAAAACAACAGGCUUUAGGGGAACGUCCAGAACCUAUACUCAAAGAGUUACUGAGGACAGAACCUGGAUGUUAGUUUGGGUGAUAAUAACUUCUCAAAAAUAGUGAGUUAAGAAGUUGGUGUUCAUGAGUUAUUUGCUUAAAGGGUAGUGGAGAUGGUUUUGAAGUUGAAGUCAGUACUUGUCGGUAUUUGCAGCCCGUUAUGGAGAGAGCAGCCUCAGGCUUGACUCAGAAGCUCGGGUAGACAUCCCUGUAGACAGGACCACUUAUAUUGGGUAGUCUAGCUAAAUUUAAUUUAGCCCACUGAGGCUAUGUAUGUACAAUGUAUAGAGAAAUAUUGUGCACAUUGUGCCGAUACCUGCUUAUCAGCUAAUCCACAGUAACUAGCAUAAAAUUUUCACCUUCAAAACUGCCCAUUUUUUAAAAUUAGACUGUAUUUUUAGUCUCAUUUAGAGCCCAAACAUCUGAGCGGUGUACUGGAGGCAGAUGGAAACUUAAUUUGUAAACAGAAGCAGCAAUCAACAUGGCAGCUGUGUGAUGGCUAAGAAAAGGAUGUAAGAUUUUCUUCAUAUUUUGUACACUUUUGGUCUCAGGUCCUUAAACUCAAUCACAAUACACAGUACAAGUGGCCUCAUCUGCAGAGGUCUGUGCCAGUUCUUCAAUCUCAACAAAAGGGCAGAGUUUUGUGCUCUCACCACUUUACAAAGCCAGGGAUGAUCACAUCAUAAAAAAGUGCAAUUCACAUUCUGCCUUAAAAACAGAGUGAUGGGGAGGUUGAGGCUCCUGAACAACCAACAACAGGCAUGAUAAUGAUUGUGCAGUUAAUGCAGAAGGUGUGUAGCUUGAAAUAAAGAGUUACUCAUGGCUCAUACUUCGUCAUUGUGGUGGGAGGCUCUCCAACAAAUCAUUGUGUUGAUGGUAAUAGUGGUCAUUAUCAGUGUGGCUCAUAGAAAGCUGUAUCAUAUAUCACACACGGAGCCUGACAGUGAUAACGGCUGUGAAGUUAACCUCACUGUGCUGAUUUCAGGGUUAAGUUUGAGGUUAACUUUGAAUCUUGAUCAGCACAAAUCGAGCAUGCUCACUCCUACUCCUAGUCAUUACUCUGUGCCAGUAUGUAUGAAUCUCACCUCCUAUAACACGUCAACAUUAACCUCAAAGCUGCUACACACCCACAGUCCACCCACACGUGUGUUUUCACUGAUGUUGCCUGAUUCAAUCUCAUAUCUAGACUGUUUGUGCAAAGUGUUUGAUUGGCAUCUCGCUCAUCUUUGUCACAGUAGACAUGUUUUAGUGUUGCAAUGCAGGAAAAGGUGAAAAUCAAGUGUUUCUGUGAGCAGCCUAAGAUACUCACCAAAGUUGAAACAUCUAGUUUUUCUUAUGUCAGUCCAUUAUGUCUGCUGUGAAAAAGGUCCAGCUCAUUUUGGUAAACCUGCUUUUUCCAUCAGUUGAAUAAGAUACAAGAAAGCUAUCUAAUUUGUUAUAGAGGAAAUAAUACAACAAAUUUUAAAACCUGUAUUACUUUAGACAGCUUUGCAAACAAUUUUUACCCCAAACUUACAACGAAUGUCUUUCCCUGCAAUUUCAUAUUCAUUUCGAGUUUUCUGAUGUAUUCCUGGAGCUGUUUCACCACCAUCUUCCAUUUUGCAUUUCUAAGCAGCUCGACAGCACAUCAAAGAGGUAAACACUGAAAACACAUCCUGAUUUCAUUCAUUUAUAUAAUGUGAAUGUUCAUACCUCUCUCAGAGUAUGCUUAUUUUUGUCAUGUUGACUGUAGAAACUCAUGACAUAGAACCUGCUUGGAAUAAACAUUUUCUAAACGGUCUGCAUAACAUCCUGUUACCACAAAUAUGUAUAACAUAUACCUGUCUUGUUAAGCAAGUGGAACAUUUGAGGUUCAUGGUAAAUAAUGCCAAUUAAGGCAAUGACAUCCAGGGAUGGUAGUUGGAUAUGAAGAUACUUGCACAGCUCUUUAUACUCAAAUCUCUGCUGAUUUUUAAUUAAUCCUAUUUUAUCAAUUUCUUAGGUCAGCUGUGUUUGAUCGAGCUGUUGCCCUUAAUGCCUCUACCUGCGUACCUGUCUCUCUGCUUAGUUUGUGUCGGUAUGAUCAUUUUAAACCAGUUUAUUUGGUAAACAGCACAGUUUCUUGAUCAGACUAACCCCUAAAAAUAUGUUAUAAUGUCCAAAAAUACACCCUGUAGGAUAUGAUUCAGAGUCUCUCUUCCAUUUUCUGUGUAUGUCACUGUGCUACCAGCAUUUUAUAUGUAAAUUAACAAAUUAUCAGGUCCCGCCUCCCAAAGUCCCUUGGCCAUUAGAAAGUACCACCCCCUAAGCAGGGGCUUUUCAAGGGGUAGGUUUUUUUCUUUUUUAACCCCAGAAAAACAUUUAGACCCUAGUUCCUGCAGUUGAAAUAUGAACAGUUCCUGAAAAGGUCUGUGGUUCCUGGGGCAAGUUCCUGCCUAGCAACAGCUGUGAUCCAUGCAUAUUUUUCUGUUAGCACAAUAGAUGCAAAAAUUAAGAGCAGCACCUAUCAGGCCCAACUUUUCCAUUUGGUCUUUCUUUUGGCUGUGUCAGUCCUAACACUGCCAAAGCAUAAUUGUAUUAUGGUUUGUGUUUUGUUUUCUUCAAUUUGGUUGAUGUCAGUUUUACUUUAGCUCCUUCUGAACUUUUGCCAUCUGCCUUUUGUCUUGUUUAGGCUGGUGGCUGGUCAUUUAUUAACCUGGAGUUUAAAGUAUUUGUGUUUUCCAAAUAAGCUGACUUACAUCAAAAAUACCCAGUUUUGGGCCUAAUCAGAAUCAAGUAUCCAGCACAGCCAGGUGAUACUUACGAAAACUCAUUCACAAUUGUUAUUAUUCUAUGAGCCUAUAGGGAACUCAGUUGUAACAAUAAGUGGUGAGUUAAUUAUCUCCUGGACGCAUAUACGUUUUUGCCUUUUUGUCACUGGUGGAGCUUUGGUAUUGCAUGUAAAGGAUGUACUUUGAGUAGCUGGUGCUCUAAUCUUACACCACAGGCUUAUUCAUCAAGACUAGAAAGAAAAAUAAAACAAAAUCAACUGAAAUGCUUUGUUUUAUUUUUCGUCUUGGGUGGUUGAGACAAACGCUGCCUUAAAAAGUGGAUCAGUGUAAAACUUUCUAUAAAUACUUAAGCAAAGUACCCCUGACUCUAAAUGAUACUUUGCCAAAGUAGCUGACUAAUGUACUAAGCCGCUUUAUAAGUCAAAAGCUUUAAAUCACAGUCAUUUUGAGUCAUCACGGUAAAGCAGCCUUGAAGGUCAUUAAAACCCUUAUUAUGUGACAGAUGAGCUUUAAAAUCGUAGCUAAACCAAUUCAUGUUGAGCAGCAGCUGACUUUGCUUCGUACACGAGCAUGGCCUGUGAUUAAUGUGCUGCCUUUAUCCUCUAGGCGCAAAGCUACACCUGUUUCUAUUUUAUUACAUUGAUCUAUGAGAGAUCAAUGAAGGCGAGGGAACAGUUGAAGACAAGUGGAGGAGACAGACCUUUUGGGAUGGCCCCUGGAGUCUAUGUGUUUGUUUGUGUGUAUACCAGGGAUCGUGUUUUCUCCUGCAGACCUCCCAGGAGAGAGCAUUGAGGCUUUCUUUGAGCGCCUUCUCUCUCUAAUCAAUAGCUCAUAUAUUAUCAUGAAACACACAGGUCCUCUUAAGACAAACGUAUUAUUAUUUUUUUCAUGUAAAGGUCAAAUGAAAUGUAAAAGUUCUGAUAAUAGGAGAAAUGUCUGUUUUGCUGUUACUUCAAACACAACGAGGGUCCCCUCUGUAUUCAGGUCAUGAAAAUGUGCUUUGUGCUGUUAAAUAUUUACAUCUCUGCGCCUCAUUUUGGAAAACUAACAUCCUCUUCCACCAUGUCUUAAGUAAGUCAACAGUAUACUGCAGACUUUAUGAUUGACAGCUGAUCUCUAAUGACUCCAACACCAGGUAACUCAUGCAGCAGCACCUUAAAGUGUCUGUGGCUACAGCUGCAAUCAUCCCUCUUUCCCUCCCCUGCAUGCUAAUCUGUCUUGUUUGCCUUUCUUUCCAUCCAUCCAUUCAUCGUCUCCUUUUCCUGUCUCUUCUCUUUGCUGUACCUGAGCUGAAUUAUGAUCCUUCCUUCUUGCCUGAUACAUUGUGAUUGAUUGGGCUUUCCAGCUUACUAAUGAAUUGGCCCCUCAAGGACGUGUAGCGGGCCAGCUCUGGUAUUAAUGUGGACUGUGCUGAAGGCAGCUCAAAGACUCCUGACACCACAGAUUUAGCACUUACACUGUUUGUUUGGAUUUGGCUUUAGCAGGGGGUGUGUUGGGUUUAAUUUUUAAAUAGCUACAAAUUGCAUUUCUAAUAGCUUUUUGCAUAUUGUCUAAGAGUGACAUGCUGCAGGGAAAAAGAGCUGUCUGUUUUGUUGUGAUGACAUGGCAAGUAUCAGAUUAAUACACAGGACACACAGCGUAUCUAUCAUGGUGCACAACAGUCCCUUAGUAAUGCAAAAAGUGAAGCAUGCUUUUAAAUCAACAGUAAAUCAAAUAUUUUUUCCCUCAUAUUUUUCUCUGUGAAACAGUGAAAUGGCUCAUGUGCUUUCAGUGGAUCUAACGUCUAAGCUGGACUAUCAGGUACUAUGUGUGGUGUCUUCCUGAUGACAAACUCAUCAAAUGAUCUCUAGAGGGAUUUUCUUCCAAAGCUUUACACCUUCUUUUAGCUCAAUGUUACUCCUGGUAUGAUUCACGUAGUUCAUUGGUUUGAAAAGUAAAGGGUUUUGCUAUCAUGGUCAAAUUUGGUUUACAAAGACACACUUUCAAUACCUUAAUGAUUAUCUAAAAAGUUAGUUGUGGCCAAUACACAGUGAGAUCAAAAUGCUAUUUUAUAAUACAGAAAGUUUCAGUAUCUUACCCCCCAAAAGACUUUUCUCCCUCACAAGAAAGAAACAGUGUUAUAGUAAAUAACCAUUGUGUAGUGUUGGUGGUUCUACUCUGUUGGUAGCUGGCAUGGUACAGAUAACAGGUGGAACCAGAAAGAGCCUGACAUCUGGAUAUAAACUGCACAUUGCUGAACAUAAUGGAAGUCAUCACACUCUAACAUAGUAUAAACCUUUUUUCACUGACAGUGUCAUAUCUGUGUUACUUACAUUCUGGAUUUUAUGUUAAUAUUUGUGUUGAUGCAUUUGAUAAUUUAGGAGCCAGAUAUCUUUCUUUAAAGUUGGAGGUAACCUCAGACUGUAAAUAACAUAGACUUAGUCUCAGGGACAAUGCAAAUUUGUUUCUGAAGUGACAUUUGAAAGCCUGGUGGUAGCUGUCAUAUUAAAAAUGCCCUAGCUUUGGGUCAACUAAGUAAGACAGGCUACAGGAUACUCACCUGCCAGUCAAGUCAGCAGUGCCUUUAUUUUUGGCGCUGACUAUUGGCUUUCUAUUUCAAGGCUGGAAGUUCUUGUUUGGUUGGGACCAAUAACUAAAGUUAUGAAAGACUUCAUGUUAUGCAAACAUCUCUAAGGUGGCAAGAAAUGUGACCCCCCAAAGUUCUAAAAAUGUUCCUCUAAACACACAAUUCUUAACUGACAGGUUUCUAACCCAUGGUACAAAGAAACAUAAAGAAUAAAAGCAGGUUAACAUGCUGUGCAUAUUUUUUAAUGUUCAGAGUGAGUCUAACUGAGAGAAUAAAGGAUUACUUGUAGAUAGUCUUGAGACCUAUUAGGGCAUGUCCUUUUUUUUAGCUGAGGUAUAACAGUGAUGGUUAGCUCCAUUUAUCCAAUGCUUUAGUCACAAGUCUGUUCAGAAAGGGAGUUUAUUACAUAAAGCCAGACCGUAGUGAAAUAGCAGAUCCUAGUUAUCUUGUGAUACUGCACUACAUGAAAAAAAAAGACUCAGAUUUUCAAAGUUAAACUCAUUAAGACUGUUGAGGGACUAUGAAGGAAAAUGGUCCCAAACCCCGACUCUUGACCUGGUUUCAUCAGUGUGAGAUCUGGCCCUGAUCUGCUGGAGCUUUAAUUCUUCAAGGUUUCUGUCUGAUUUGCAUAGAAGUGUGUGCACAAAGGAAUGUUACAGAUAAAAAACGGAAUUGUAUCAGUGGGCUUAGGGGAUUUGGUCCAAUGGCUACCCAUAUGAACAUGUGACAAGAUAACCAGCACCAAAAUAAUGUCCGGUGGGUGGCUCUUAACUAGCUUGUUCAAAAACAGUUAGUUUUGCAUUCUGCAUUAGUUUGAGGAUGGCCAGUGCAUGAGUCAUAGACCAGUGUGUGAACUAAAUCCUGCCAGUCUCAAGAGGAUAUGCACCACUGAAAUUCACUUAUCAUCUUCCCUCAUUCAAAGACAAAACACUUUGAGCAUGAGUGCAAAAUGUAAAAGAAAUGAGUCACUUCAAUAUUAUUCAAUCUUCUUUGAACUGCCUGCUUACCCUCAGCUGCUGUGAUACAUCACAAUAUUUUAUGCAUUCAUCACCUGCUUCUAUGUGUUUAUCUCAUUUCCAGAGCGCAUACUGAAUCAGCACCUGCUGUGAUGGUUGGUCAUGUAAAAACAAGCCUGUGAGUCCUAAAAUACCAGGAGUAGUAAAUGCAUUUCAGUGUUUUUGAAUCAAGCUUUUACCGAGCUGAUGUGCGAACACAGUUUACCAGUGAAAUCCAAAAUAAAAAGAAAGAGCAACACAUUUGCUAUUUAUGAUAUAAUUACAAGCUUUGUUAUUUUCAUUAAACAUCUUUACAAAGGUUGGUAAAAAUCUAUGGAUUUUGUGGUCAUUUAUUGUAUAAUGUAAGCCUUUUCUGUAGACAUACAUCUCCAGUACCGGCAUUUUCUCAACUCAUAAGGGUGAAUAUGGAUCUGAGCCAUCGACGAUCAAGAAGACAGAAGCAAAUCAAGAUGAAGAUCAGUUUCAACAUCCCCCCUUUUUUUCAAGUUCGGUGUAUAUCUGUACUUUUAUGAGGCUUGAUGAAGAGAGGGCAUGUUUCUCAUUAAAAGGUUUUCAGCUCCGUUCCUCCGAUUGGUUGUUUAGCUUUCAUAUUCAGAGCAUCUAAUUAAUAAAACCAAGUGUGAGAGUACUGAUUUGUGCAGAUGAUACAAGGAAAAAAUACCUCAUAGAACCUAGAACAUAUUUCUGAAUCAACCCGGUUCUGCUGGAAAUAUGUAUUUUAUCAUUUAUAAAUGUGAUGAGAGGUUGCUUUGUAUGACUGUGCAAAACAUUUCACAGGUUACAUUUGUGGGGAUGCAAAGAAACUGGGCAAGAAAGGCCUGUGCGAGUUGAAAUGAAUGACCUGUGAGUAGACCUGAUAAGAUAAAAUGUAAUACACAAUUUGUUUGUUUGUUUGUUAGUGGUGUAAUAUAUGUGAAAAUGCGAGUACCUUGUAAAAUAGCCAGACCAAACAGAAACUCCCCGCACAGGCAUUGCCUUCACUCUCCGCUGUGAUAUGAAGAGUAAUGAUGGACUUUCUUUGAAGGGGAUCAUGUCUUUCUGAAUGUAACUUUUUUUUUUUUUACAUUUGUGUCUUUUACUUUUUCAAACAUAAGCCAUAAUAUUUUCCACCAAAUAAGGUCCCAUAUCCUUAAACCGCUCUUUUUUGUGUGCUGGUAGAACCCACAACCUCAGUCAGUAUAUUCAGAAAAAUGGAUUUACUACAGUUGGUCUGAAACUGGACUUUGAACACACAUUAGUCUGACUGAAAUCUUACUAAAUCAAACCUGAGUAACAAACCUGAAUAAUGAUUGAUUUUCUCUGUCGUGAAUAAGACAAAACCUUUGUAUCUUACAAAUUAAAGGCGAAGACCUGUAAACGUGAUGCUGUUUUUGUUGUUUGGCGUAUAUCUUUUUAGCCACAUGCCAAUGUGUUUGGUCAACACACGUUUUGGUUCAUAAUGGGUCACCUGUAAGACAACUUGAUAUUAUCGAGCUGAAAGUGGACAUAAUUCCACCUUCUGUAGAGGAGGCACAAAUGCUUCUGUCAAUUACUGGAUUCUUUGCAGUCCUUGUAAACUGGGACAAGGACUGUCAUCCAGGACAUAUUUUGGCCUAUGACCCAUAUGAGGUCUGACAGGCUCAGUGUCACUCGCUGAUCUGAGGGCAAAUAGUUUAAAUAUGACAUUAAAAUAAACUGGUCUGCAUGAGUAAUCAAGAGUGGUCAGAAAAUGUUAAGCUUGUUACACACCAUCUGUGUUUGUCACAGUAAAAGGCCUGUAAUAGGCCCCGUACCCAUUGAGGGGAUUUGUGAUAAAAAUAAAAGCAUUUUUUAAAAACUGUACUCCUUUUUUUUUCUCCCCUGAUGUUUGAUUGUGUGUCAUCACUGAAAGAGUCAAUGUGAGAUCGAAAUGCUGAUCAGAGCUACUCAGCACAUUUAGCCCGUGAUCACUCUGGUCAGCAGGCUGCAGUGCUGGAGUGCAGCUUUCAAUGCUUACAGUUAGCCUUUCAUUCAUAGGAUGUGAUCUGCACCAUGAUAAGAUUACGAAACAUGUCUCAAUAAAUAAAUAAAUAAAAAUGUUACAUUUGAUUGUCAUUGUAGCUGUGCAGUGUGCACUGACUGUGUAACAGACGGCUGUUAAAUGUCUUUACUACAUUUAAAAUGCUGCUCAACCUUAACUCAAAAUGCCAGAUGAAUGAUAUGCUGUCAUGAAUUAAUUAAUUCGUUGGUGUGCACCUAUAGCUCCUUUGCUUAUACCAGUGCAUGACUUAGCAGUGUUUACAGUGAAACAGAACACGGGUGAGGAUUCAUGUGACUAAAUGUUUGUGUGUAAGUGUAUUUAUCAAGCUCAGUGUUUCCUCCUCUUACCUGCAGUGCUUUCAUGCUCUCAUAUUACCAGCUCUCUAUCUAUUAUCUCUCUUUCCCUCUCCAACACCUCUUCUCUCUCUCUCCAUCUCCCUCUCCCUCUCUCUCUCUCACUAGCUUGCCAAGCCAGCCGGUGUUGACGAUGCACUAGCUGUUGAAAGAGAGUGUGUGUAUUUGUGUGUGUGUGUGUGUGUGUGUGUGUGUGUGUGUGUGUGUGUGUGCCUGUGUGUGUGCUGUUGACAGAGCUGAGAGAUUUAAUUGACACCCACAGAGAGAAUUAUACAAGCUUCCAAAUGCUCUCUAUCUGUGUGCAUGUGUAUGUGUUUAAUGUAAGCCAGAGUCUCUCUCUCUCUCUCUCUCUCUUUCUGUGUGUGUGUGUGUGUGUGUGUGUGUGUGUUGAUGCCCACCUCUAAAAUCUAUGUGCUCAUAUGAAGGGGGUCUGUGAGUGUGUUUGGAGACUGUUUUUCCGUGUUUUGACAGAGGCAGUUCAUAUCACUGUUUCACUUCUGUCCUCUCUGCUUUCCUCCCUCUUUCUCUUUCACUCCACCAUCCCAUCCUCAGCUCUUGUUUGUAAUGUUUUCUCUUUUUAUCACCCUCUCUUGGUUGAAUGUGCCCUGUAAUGAAGAUCUUUGAUAUAUUGUCUUUUUACAAUACUGCAAAACAAACCCAGUGAAUUACAGCAUUCAGUGCAAGCUGUUAUCUCCCUGCUUUCUCCAUCUGUGAGUUGAUAUGCAUCUGCAUUCAUGCUGUUGCUGUACUUGAGUGAACAGUACAUUGAUUGUGCUAUUGUCUAUGCAGUGUAAGAGAAUGAGUGUGCUUCUAAACCCUCAAAGGACCAAUCACAAAUCAAGAAAAUAUGCCAUAGAUGCCACAGUUCUGUGCAGCUCUUUGAGGAUUUUAGCCUCCUUUACAGGCUGAUAGUUUAAUCACACUCAGGAAGGUUUGAAUCAAGCCGAAGCAAGAUUUUUAUGAAGCUCCUCACAAGAUCAGUUGUUUCUGUUUCUAAUAAUGAUAAUUUCUCUUCUCGGGUAACCACAAAUUUUUUCUAUAUUGUUUUUGAAUUGUCAGAUUUAUUUUGUUUUUGGAUUAAAAUCAUUUAUUUUUUGGCUGACUUAUUUUUU
Non-coding RNA from Xyrichtys novacula (pearly razorfish), 10506 nucleotides. The record is from the annotation of a GenBank genome assembly. Lineage: Eukaryota; Metazoa; Chordata; Actinopteri; Labriformes; Labridae.